UGAGGAAUAUUGCGCAAUGGGCGAAAGCCUGACGCAGCGACGCCGCGUGGGGGAUGAAGGUCUUCGGAUUGUAAACCCCUUUCGGGAGGGAAGAGGGGACGGGCAACCGUUCGGACGGUACCUCCAGGAGCAGCCACGGCUAACUUCGUGCCAGCAGCCGCGGUAAUACGAAGGUGGCAAGCGUUGUUCGGAUUUACUGGGCGUAAAGGGAGCGUAGGCGGUUUGGUAAGCCCUCCGGGAAAUCUUCGGGCUAAACCCGGAAAGUUCGGAGGGGACUGCCAGGCUAGAGGACGGGAGAGGAGCGCGGAAUUCCCGGUGUAGCGGUGAAAUGCGUAGAGAUCGGGAGGAAGGCCGGUGGCGAAGGCGGCGCUCUGGAACGUUCCUGACGCUGAGGCUCGAAAGCGUGGGGAGCAAACAGGAUUAGAUACCCUGGUAGUCCACGCCCUAAACGAUGGACACUAAGUGUCGGCGGGUUACCGCCGGUGCCGCAGCUAACGCAUUAAGUGUCCCGCCUGGGGAGUACGGCCGCAAGGUUGC
This 537-nucleotide ribosomal RNA is filed under the name uncultured Nitrospira sp. RNAcentral describes it as "bacterial SSU rRNA". It matches the Rfam family "Bacterial small subunit ribosomal RNA", at positions 355 to 897 of the family's 1533-position model. Lineage: Bacteria; Pseudomonadati; Nitrospirota; Nitrospiria; Nitrospirales; Nitrospiraceae. The record is from RNAcentral.